Molecule: ribosomal RNA, 166 nt
Filed under: uncultured bacterium
Lineage: Bacteria
Description: partial 16S rRNA
Rfam family: Bacterial small subunit ribosomal RNA
Source: RNAcentral
UAAGGAAUCUUCGGCAAUGGACGAAAGUCUGACCGAGCAACGCCGCGUGAGUGAAGAAGGUUUUCGAAUCGUAAAACUCUGUUGGUAGAGAAGAACGUUGGUGAGAGUGGAAAGCUCAUCAAGUGACGGUAACUACCCAGAAAGGGACGGCUAACUACGUGCCAAG